CUCUCUCUCUCUCUGAUUCCCGCAUCGGUGUAUCAACCUCAUAUGAAACACUCUUUGUGUUAUGAUUAUUUUGUUAAUAUUUUAGGAAUAAGACAAGUAAAUUGAGAGAUAGAGAGAACUUUUUCUGCUCUUUAAAACUGUUCCGGUUUUAAUUUGAAAAAAUAUGUCCUCUCUUUUAUACUUAUCAGAAAAGAUGCAUUAGACUUCUUUUGUUUACUGUAGACAUAACACUGCAAAAUGAGCAUUAUCUUCAAAUCAAGAAAAUGAUAAUAUCUCUAGAAAAGAUCAUUGCAUUGGCACCAAACCUUUUUAUUUACAAUUUAGGUAUGCCUAAGAGUAUUUUCUAUGUUAUUUUUUGUGACUUUUUUGUUAUUUAGUAUUUUUAAAAGUUAAAAUUAGGAUGGAAGACUUUUUUUGUCAAAGAGAGAGUAUUUUGAUAAUUGCAUCCGUGCCUCAUUUUUCACUUUUUGAAAACCGUUUUUCAGCCUUCAAUUUUUGUGCAUUGACUGGAAAUAUAUUGAAAACUCUUAACAUUGACAUGAUAUAACUCUAUCUUUUAGAGAAUAUGAAAAAUUAACUCUCUGAAUUAUAAAAAACAUCAUACCAAAUUUUAGCAUUUCUAUUAUCUCUAUGUACUGAGCCUAUGCAAACCUUAUUUUGUAUUGCUCAGUUUGAAUGCUUAUAUUCGUGAAAAUAUCCCAUGGCUUAACACAGUUUUUAUGAAAAGCUAUAAUUCAAGACUUAAUAUUUCAUAUUACCUUUUGUUCAUUUCGAUAAUUUUAUAUUUUCAUCACCAAAAAUUAGUUUGAAAUUCGAAUAAUUUAAAAGAAUUUUAAUACUCUCAGAGAGCGCCAUCUAUUGACCAGGCCGUGUACAUUUUACAUUCAACAUACACACUUAACAUGGGUUAUGUAUUAUGCGAAUUUCAUGCUCUUGACUUGGGUUUAGUAUCUACGAUGAUCGUUUCCCGGAUUCAAUAGUCAAAGGAAUUAGUUUGUGCUAUGACAUUUCGACUACUAUUAGAGAGAAAUCACCAAAAUGUGUUCAUUACAUGUGCAUUGCAAGAAAGUCCGCGAAACUCGAGAAAUUACUACACAAGAGAAGGGGCUACAGACAGCAAUUUAUCGGCUUUGCUACACUGAAUAUCCCCGAGCGUAGCCCGGGGGCUAACCCUAGGUGCCGCUGGCUUCUCCUCCGCCAGACUGACUGUGUAUCGGACUCAAGUACUCAGCUCAGCUCAGCUCGGCGUUUGUGUUAUUUAUCGUACCGGACACCAAUCCCGCAUUCAAAGGAUACAGGUAAAACACUGGAAGUUCCCAAAAUGCCAGGUGUCAGGAUGGACAUACAUUUUACCUUGCCAGCUCACACAAGACAAAGAGGGGAUUAUUAUUAUAUUGCUCCAUCUCUGGAAAGCUUUAGGGGCACAGUCUAGCAUGCACUACCACGCCUUCUGCAACAUUUCCACUGAUCUGUGGCGUUCCUCAAGGAGCCGGAGGCCACCCAUGAUACCCAGGAGGGGUCCCUCCCCUUUUGACCCUAGUUGACCUCCAGAACAUCAAGCUCAAAAGUUUCUCUAGAAGACUUUCAUGCCUCAAGAAGCCCGUAUUCAGUCUUUGCACAAGGAGGGGACAGAUAUGACAUUCUAUCUUAACAGCAUUGACUGAAACAAGAUGUCGCAGCCUUACAUUCUGGUGAUAGGUUCAAGGAUCAACCCCCUUCAAUUCUUUGUAAUUGUGGAGAGACAAGCACUGGAGUUCAAGACAAUGACCAAGGCAGUAGACUUUUGUUUUAAACUGAUAUACGUGCCGGAUGUUCAGUACCAGGCUGCUUGCAUAGGAAUGUGGGAGUUCCUACAGAAUAUGUAAUUGCCAGAAGCAAAAACUGUUGCAGUUUCAACAUCUGUGCGGGAGCUCCGCACAUUUUUGGCAAAUGAAGAAAAGUAAGCUGUCGAGCUCCAUCAGCUACAUUGUAUGAGACUAACAGCCUGGAUAGAAAUUGUAAGUGAUAGACUUGAAUUUAUCUUUUCUGAAACUCCAGGUUUGUGAAUAAAGAUCUGACAACGAAAGCAAUUUUAUUUUAAAAAAUUCUUAAUUAUGUAAGUUUUUGAACAUUGGUAGAUAAGAUUGGCACUUGAAGACCUACUGGUAAUACAUUUACUGGAAUAUAUCUUUGUAAAGUCGAGACAAUUUAACAAGUCUGAUGGUAAUACAUUUACUGGAAUAUAACUUUGUAAAGUCGAGACAAUUUAACAAGGCUGUGUAACAAAACAUGGGGUCUAUCGAUGUAAUUCAACUUGCUGCCAUGG
RNAcentral lists this long non-coding RNA (2305 nucleotides) under Strongylocentrotus purpuratus (purple sea urchin). Its description in RNAcentral is "uncharacterized LOC115928011". Lineage: Eukaryota; Metazoa; Echinodermata; Echinoidea; Camarodonta; Strongylocentrotidae. The record is from RNAcentral.